RNAcentral lists this ribosomal RNA (297 nucleotides) under uncultured bacterium. RNAcentral describes it as "partial 16S ribosomal RNA". It matches the Rfam family "Bacterial small subunit ribosomal RNA", at positions 775 to 1067 of the family's 1533-position model. The record is from RNAcentral.
GGAUUAGAUACCCUGGUAGUCCACGCUGUAAACGAUGGGCACUAGGUGUUGGUAGGGUAGAACCUAUCGGUGCCGGAGCUAACGCAUUAAGUGCCCCGCCUGGGGAGUACGGCCGCAAGGCUGAAACUCAAAGGAAUUGACGGGGGCCCGCACAAGCGGUGGAGCAUGUGGUUUAAUUCGAUGCAACGCGAAGAACCUUACCUGGGCUUGACAUAUAGGUGAUCGACCCGAAAAGGAAGUGACCCAGCUUGCUGGGAUCCUAUACAGGUGCUGCAUGGCUGUCGUCAGCUCGUGCCG